This 329-nucleotide unclassified non-coding RNA is filed under the name soil metagenome. RNAcentral describes it as "partial contains 5.8S ribosomal RNA, internal transcribed spacer 2, and large subunit ribosomal RNA". The stretch from base 1 to 120 matches the Rfam family "5.8S ribosomal RNA", at positions 35 to 154 of the family's 154-position model. The record is from RNAcentral.
GAUGAAUAACGUAGCGAAAUGCGAUAAGUAGUGUGAAUUGCAGAAUUCAGUGAAUCAUCGAAUCUUUGAACGCACAUUGCGCCCCUUGGUAUCCCGAGGGGCAUGCCUGUUCGAGCGCCAUUUCACCACUCAAGCCUGGCUUGGUGUUGGGCGACGUCCUCUUUGGGGACGCGCCUCGAAACGCUCGGCGGCGUGGCACCGGCUUUAAGCGUAGCAGAAUCUUUCGCUUUGGAAGUCGGGGCCCCGUCUGCCGGAAGACCUGCUCGCAAGGUUGACCUCGGAUCAGGCAGGGAUACCCGCUGAACUUAAGCAUAUCAAUAAGCGGAGGA